GACGAACGCUGGCGGCGUGCCUAAUACAUGCAAGUAGAACGCUGAAGGAAGGAGCUUGCUCUUUCUGGAUGAGUUGCGCACGGGUGAGUAACGCGUAGGUAACCUGCCUGGUAGCGGGGGAUAACUAUUGGAAACGAUAGCUAAUACCGCAUAAAAUUGAUUAUUGCAUGAUAGUCAAUUAAAAGGUGCAACUGCACCACUACCAGAUGGACCUGCGUUGUAUUAGCUAGUUGGUGGGGUAACGGCUCACCAAGGCGACGAUACAUAGCCGACCUGAGAGGGGGGACGGCCACACUGGGAACGGGACACGGCCCAGACCUCUACGGGAGGGAGCAGGAGGGAAUCUUCGGCAAUGGACGGAAGGCUGGCCGAGCAACGCCGCGUGAGUGAAGAAGGUUUUCGGAUCGUAAAGCUCUGUUGUAAGGGAAGAAAGAGUGUGGGAGUGGAAAGUUCACACUGUGACGGUAUCUUACCAGAAAGGGACGGCUAACUACGUG
Molecule: ribosomal RNA, 497 nt
Filed under: uncultured bacterium
Lineage: Bacteria
Description: partial 16S ribosomal RNA
Rfam family: Bacterial small subunit ribosomal RNA
Source: RNAcentral